CCUGCCCCUCGAGGUGUUAACAGAUGUGGCUGCUGUGCCACUUGUGUCUCUAGGUGGCAGAGAGGAGAGAGAGAGGGAAAGAGGGAGAGAGGGAGAGGGGCUUGUCCAUGUCCAGUGCUCUGACCUAUGAGCAACUGGGUGAUCGAUAGCCUGGCACU
This 158-nucleotide small nucleolar RNA is filed under the name Erinaceus europaeus (western European hedgehog). Its description in RNAcentral is "Small nucleolar RNA SNORA17". It matches the Rfam family "Small nucleolar RNA SNORA17". From Rfam's summary of the family: snoRNA ACA 17 belongs to the H/ACA family of snoRNAs and is predicted to guide pseudouridylation of the 28S rRNA at positions U4659 and U4598. It shares the same host gene together with ACA43. The record is from Rfam by way of RNAcentral. Lineage: Eukaryota; Metazoa; Chordata; Mammalia; Eulipotyphla; Erinaceidae.